GAUGAACGCUGGCGGCGUGCCUAAUACAUGCAAGUCGAGCGAACGGACGAGAAGCUUGCUUCUCUGAUGUUAGCGGCGGACGGGUGAGUAACACGUGGAUAACCUACCUAUAAGACUGGGAUAACUUCGGGAAACCGGAGCUAAUACCGGAUAAUAUUUUGAACCGCAUGGUUCAAAAGUGAAAGACGGUCUUGCUGUCACUUAUAGAUGGAUCCGCGCUGCAUUAGCUAGUUGGUAAGGUAACGGCUUACCAAGGCAACGAUGCAUAGCCGACCUGAGAGGGUGAUCGGCCACACUGGAACUGAGACACGGUCCAGACUCCUACGGGAGGCAGCAGUAGGGAAUCUUCCGCAAUGGGCGAAAGCCUGACGGAGCAACGCCGCGUGAGUGAUGAAGGUCUUCGGAUCGUAAAACUCUGUUAUUAGGGAAGAACAUAUGUGUAAGUAACUGUGCACAUCUUGACGGUACCUAAUCAGAAAGCCACGGCUAACUACGUGCCAGCAGCCGCGGUAAUACGUAGGUGGCAAGCGUUAUCCGGAAUUAUUGGGCGUAAAGCGCGCGUAGGCGGUUUUUUAAGUCUGAUGUGAAAGCCCACGGCUCAACCGUGGAGGGUCAUUGGAAACUGGAAAACUUGAGUGCAGAAGAGGAAAGUGGAAUUCCAUGUGUAGCGGUGAAAUGCGCAGAGAUAUGGAGGAACACCAGUGGCGAAGGCGACUUUCUGGUCUGUAACUGACGCUGAUGUGCGAAAGCGUGGGGAUCAAACAGGAUUAGAUACCCUGGUAGUCCACGCCGUAAACGAUGAGUGCUAAGUGUUAGGGGGUUUCCGCCCCUUAGUGCUGCAGCUAACGCAUUAAGCACUCCGCCUGGGGAGUACGACCGCAAGGUUGAAACACAAAGGAAUUGACGGGGACCCGCACAAGCGGUGGAGCAUGUGGUUUAAUUCGAAGCAACGCGAAGAACCUUACCAAAUCUUGACAUCCUUUGACAACUCUAGAGAUAGAGCUUUCCCCUUCGGGGGACAAAGUGACAGGUGGUGCAUGGUUGUCGUCAGCUCGUGUCGUGAGAUGUUGGGUUAAGUCCCGCAACGAGCGCAACCCUUAAGCUUAGUUGCCAUCAUUAAGUUGGGCACUCUAAGUUGACUGCCGGUGACAAACCGGAGGAAGGUGGGGAUGACGUCAAAUCAUCAUGCCCCUUAUGAUUUGGGCUACACACGUGCUACAAUGGACAAUACAAAGGGCAGCGAAACCGCGAGGUCAAGCAAAUCCCAUAAAGUUGUUCUCAGUUCGGAUUGUAGUCUGCAACUCGACUACAUGAAGCUGGAAUCGCUAGUAAUCGUAGAUCAGCAUGCUACGGUGAAUACGUUCCCGGGUCU
Molecule: ribosomal RNA, 1372 nt
Filed under: uncultured bacterium
Lineage: Bacteria
Description: bacterial SSU rRNA
Rfam family: Bacterial small subunit ribosomal RNA
Source: RNAcentral